UGCGUGUUUCUUCCCUCCCUCCAUCCGUCAUCUAUUUAAUGUGUGGUGCGCGUGGUUAAUCGCCAGUCACCAGCCGGAGUUCGGAAAGCUGUAGACGUUAAUAUUGGAGUUGUGAGACUUGUCUGGAAUCAGCAUGGUAUGGAGUGUUCCAUUUGGCUUAAUUUCAUGUAGUGACGAACAAUGUUCGUCCGUUGUUGACGCAUGUUUCUGUACGCAAGAUUGUGUGGCGAAGUCAGUCAAGUAUUAGACUUGCAUGACUCACGUGAGUUGGUAGAUUGAUACAUAUUUAUCAGAUGCUAGAGAUUAAUUUGGCCAAUUUUAGCUGAAAUAAGAGUUACUUCUCUUGAAUGUUACAUGUACAAAUUGCUUUGAAUUGCAUGAUGGUAUCAGUUUUCUGUGCUCAGUCCAGUGUUUUUCAAUUUUAUCAAAAGCGUUUGGUGAUUAAGAGUGUAAGCAGAUUUUUUCUCAUAAUGGACAUCGGUUUUAUUCCUGUUACUAUAUUCUCAUCUGUCUAGUAUUGACGGUGCUUACGGGUGUUUCCGUCCUGUAGAUUCUUUAUUGGUAGUCUGUCAACUCGUUUCAAUAUGAGUUCUAGUGUGGUGUUGGUGUUUCUUCAAUUGCCGAGUUCUUUCUCAGAUGUUGGAGUUCGCCAUGCUUAUUGGCCGUAAGGUGCAGGGUCUGGCCUAUGGGUUGAACUUUGAUUGGUGCUGAUGUGUGCCAUUCAUUUGAGAUGGUUUAGUUGGAGACAUCAAUGGCUGUACUAUAGUUUGCUAGUUGGCGGUGGAGUUUUUGCCGGCGCUUGUUCUUGGGUUCACUUGGCUGUGUUAAGUCAAUGGUCGUUGGGGAUUCCCAAUGAGUUGGUCUUCGCCGGGUAUUGCUGUUGGUAUGUUAUGAAUUCUUAGGAUUACUUUACCCCUCGGGAGUGUUCUUGGGCUGGUGAAUUUAUUGCUGUUAGCCGGGUGGAUUUGGACAGUUGGAGUUUACCAUUCACCUGAGGUGAUUACCGCAUUUUAAUGGGAAAUUCAACUUCAGGCGUGGAGAUGAGGGUCUACAUAUCAAUUUAUUGUUCCGGAGGUAUUAGGUAUGGGGAAAGUGAUGGUUGUUUAAUCAGUGUUGAUGACUUAAUUCGUUUUUAAAACUAGUUUUCAUGGCGAGUAAAAUGUGAGUAUCAAUGGUAAUAUCAAGAGGAUAGGGGUUAUUCUUUUGUAGUUAUCAUGUAAUUUUGCAGAUUAAAGGCAUAUUGUAUGGAAUUAAUUUAAUGGUAGUCUAACUUCUAAAUCUUGCAUCCUGAUAAAUAUAAUUAUAAUUUUUUCAAGUCCUGUCUUAGUAUAGUAAACGAACUUUCAAUGCCAGCAUGUGCAUGUAGUUGCUGUCAUUUAAAAGUAAUUUUGUUUGAAGGAUAGGAGUUAUUUUUUUCGUUUCAGGUAUGAAGUGUUUCGGUUGGAUUUUGCAACAGCUAAGUCGAAUUCAUCGAAUCGUAGGGAUUGGUGCAAACAGUUCACGGUUGUUUCGUUUGUCGAAAACGUGGGAGUCUUCUACAUGGUAGGUAAGUUGUACUUCGAAGUGGGGACUUUGGAGGUUUAAUGACUGAAUACCGUCGAUCCGUUGGUUUUCCUUUUGACUGGGUUUAAUAAGGUACUUUAUCAGCUAUGUAGAUUUUAUUUAUUCUAUUUCUGAUUUAUUCUCUCUUCUGAGACCUGUUCUUAACCUUUAUCAACCUGUUUGAUUUUUGCCGUUGGAACUGUCGGUGGUUCUAUGUUAAUCGCCACAUUUGCUUUUUGCCCUAGUUGUUUAUUUCGUCAGGGCCAUUCCAACUCUGCUCGUUAAUGGGCUAUUUUCUGACUUUGGAACGUCAAUGCAGUAGUGUAUGUACCCGUGGGGGCUUCUCGCCAGCUUUGCAUAUUAACCCUAUCGUCCAUUCAGUUUUCCAUUGUCGAUGUGUUAUGCCAACCAUGGCGGUUAUGUCAUGCUUGUACUUGUUAUGGUAUGUAACAUGUUUGGAGUGGUGCAUAGCAUCAGUUUUCGUUUAGUUAGUUGGGUAUUUUUCCGUGGGACUAAUUGACAUGGAAUAAAAAUUGUAAGUAUCAAUAUUGAUAUACAGAAGGUGAAUUAUAAGAUAUUAUUUUCAUAGGAUAGAUAAAUAUUUGAACAUAUUAAAAUAAUAUAUUAAUGCACAAUAUUAUUUAAUUGCACGAUUUUUUAUCCUGUAAAGUAAGCAACUGUAUCACUAGUGGCUUCAUGUAUAACUAUUAUUAAAUAUUAUCUUUGUUAAAAUGAUAAGUAACAUUGGUUUUCUUGUUCUGAUAAAUUGCUUUAUUGAACGUUUUAGAUGUUUUUAGUUAUUAGGUCUGUUUCCGGAAGUGGGUUUUAUAAUACAGGGUUGCCACCAUU
Long non-coding RNA from Daphnia magna, 2391 nucleotides. RefSeq lists it as uncharacterized. Lineage: Eukaryota; Metazoa; Arthropoda; Branchiopoda; Diplostraca; Daphniidae. The transcript has 7 exons. The record is from RefSeq and is a predicted model, not a curated record.